GCCCGGAUAGCUCAGUUGGUAGAGCAAAGGGUUGAAAUCCUUCCGUCCUUGGUUCGAUGCCGAGUCCGGGCACCA
This 75-nucleotide transfer RNA is filed under the name Escherichia coli. Its description in RNAcentral is "tRNA-Phe". It matches the Rfam family "tRNA". From Rfam's summary of the family: Transfer RNA (tRNA) molecules are approximately 80 nucleotides in length. Their secondary structure includes four short double-helical elements and three loops (D, anti-codon, and T loops). The record is from RNAcentral. Lineage: Bacteria; Pseudomonadati; Pseudomonadota; Gammaproteobacteria; Enterobacterales; Enterobacteriaceae.